This 6350-nucleotide long non-coding RNA is filed under the name Vigna radiata. RNAcentral's name for it is "long non-coding RNA (VRAD_LNC013834)". Lineage: Eukaryota; Viridiplantae; Streptophyta; Magnoliopsida; Fabales; Fabaceae. The record is from RNAcentral.
ACCAUUUGUUGUAUCCAUACCAUCUUUCGUAGACAAUAGGACUAGGUUAUCCACAAGAUAUAAAACUAAAAUGAGUAGGCUAUCCACAAGAUAUAAAACUAAAAUAAGUUUUAGCCCAACUAUGAAGAAAUUUUCAUUCAAAGUGUCCAUUUUGUGCUUCUCAUGCAUUCUUCCAACAUAAUUCUUUAUCAACCAUUCCUUCUCUUCCUUCACCAAAAACUCCAUUUUUUCUCUCCUACCUGCCUACCUUAAGAUCAAGCUUACUCCUAGGCUAGAAUUCUUUUAGUGCUUUGGACGAUAACAUGUAGUUUCUGAUUACCAAUCCAUAUUUAAUCGAGUUGUUUCUCCUAAGACCACUUUGUUCCCCACUUCUAAGAAUCUAAGAAAACUAAAUUUAUGUCUAACUUGGUCUUUUUGAUAUAAACACUUCUUACACCUUUCCCCAUAUCCAAAAAACUCUUCACGUAUCAUACCCUCAACGUCUCACCAAAAAAUGAGAAAAGAAAACCAAGGUUCUCUUUUUAUUUCCAUUUUUAGUGGUUGUGCUAUGCAUAUUUUCCAAUCACUAUAUUUAGUAAGCAACUUUCCACUGUCAGUGAUCACUUACAUCACACCCUUAUCACAUCAUGUUAAGUAAUAAUUAUUAUGAAUAUAAGCAUCUUUUGUAUUUAAUUGCAUGUAUUUAAAGUUAAACCUCUCCUUUUGUUUAGUUUUUUUAGUCCAUAUGACAUUUUUGAAAACUUUAAUAUGUAUAUAGUAAUGGUUUUUGCCCAAACAAUUGUAUGUUGAAUAUAUAUGUUUAUUGAAGAUGUUAUUUUUCUAUUGCAUGAUUCCUAACACAAAGUCAAUCAAGGAAGGAUGAGGAGUACAUGUUGCAUCUUGAGUAUUUAAAGAGAGGUUAGUCAUUAUGAGUUUUUUUUUUCUUGCAAUAACAUCGUUGAUGCAUGUAUGGAUGGGUCUAGCUUGACAGAAGUGGUGUUGGUAAUGGAUUUUACAUUGAGUGUUAGUGACUUACCAACAAUAAUGAUGGAUGUAAAAGUUCUUGACAACAAGUAAAAUAUGAAAGACGGUAAAGACAAAUGGUAUAGAAGAUUGUCACCAUUAAUAAAUAAUGCAUAUCACUAAUAACAAAAUAAAUUUAAACAAAUAUAUGAACAAUAUGUCAAAUAUUUAUCAAUAUACAAAGAAGACUACAUGUUAAAUAAUAUAUUGUUUACAAUGUCUUUAUAAAAUAUUCUAAUAUAUAUUCAUUUUUAUAUUUUAAAAUAUAUUAAAAAACUUUUUAAUAUAUCAAAAUUAAUAAAUUUUAAAAACAAAUUAUAUAAAUAAUAAUAAAAAAUCAGAAUAAUAUGAACUCAAAACUAUUUUUCCUUGAGUUAAGUUGAGAAUUAUUGUGUGGUAUUGAUAAAGGUUCAAAUUUGGGGUUGUUGGGAAAGUUGAAAAAGAAAAAGAUAAACAUUGAGCUAAUGUGUUGAGCAAAACAUAAAAAAAUGAAAAAGAAAGAAAAAAGAAAAAAAUGAGAAGAAAAGCUCAAUGCAAAGAAAAGGGAAAGUUGGAAAUGAGUGAGAUUGGUUGUUUAAAGAGAGUUUGUGUUUAAACUAUAAAAACUAUAAAUGUGAAUAACUCUCUUAACUCAAGGAUUUUGUGAUCCAGAAAAACCAAUGUUCUUCUUAGCCCAACCACGUUACAAGCCAUAAAAAGUCCUUGUGAUGAUAACUUGCUUGUGAGUAUGAUUGAUUGUGGUUAAAUGAAAGGCAAAGUUUAUUUGUGUGACAUUGUGAUAGUAGAGAGAAUGAGUCACCUCAAUAUACACUUGUGUGCUUGAGUGAAACACUUUCCUCGGUGAGGAGUAGUUCCAAUUAUACAUGAUUGCAUCUAUGCCUGGUUAAUUGGUCAUUUAUGAUAAUAACAUCUAUUGGAAAGACUGUGAUUAUGUGACCAUCAUAUUGAGUUUAAUGGAAGUAAUGCAUGUAUACAUCUUGACUGAUAUUUUUAUGAUAAGCUGAGAGUGAUUACUUGUCUUGGAUGAAAAACUUUUGGAAAGUAUUAAUCCAUUGUAUUGAUUGUUUGAAAACUGAGUUACAUCUUGUUUUGCUUGAGAACAAGCAAAAUUCUAAGUUUGGGCCUCUGAUAACGGUUGAAAAACAGUUAUUUUCAUACUUGAAAUCAUGCAUUUUUAUUAAGUUAGAGAAUAAGAGAGUCAAAGUUGGUUUUCUUGGUUUUAUGCUUGGUUUCCCUUGAUUUUGUAGGUUUAUUGAAUGAUUUGAAAGAAGGAUUGAAUUAUCAAAGAGUUGCAGAGCAGAAAAGCCAACCAGUCAACCAGAAAGUCAACUAGCCAACCAUAAAGUCAACCAGUCAACCAAAAAGUCAACCAGUUGACCAGAGUGUAGUUGACCAGCGCUGAGCGGUGAAAAUGGGCGUUGAGCGGUCAUUUUUUAGGGCUGAGCGGCAGUUUUGGGUGCUGAGAGAUCCUGCGAUUAUAGGGAAACCGCUGAGCGGUCAAAUUAGGGGCUGAGCGGUUGUUAGUUUUUAUUUUACGGAUUCUGUGAUCUUUCUGUUAUCUUUUUGGCCUAUUGAUAACGGUCUAAAAACUGUUAUUUUCAUGCUUAACUAUGAUAGUAAAACACACCCUUUGUGGCUUAGAAUGAGCUUUAAAUCAAGUAAAACACUUAGUUGAGUCUCUUGAGAGUCAAAAGUUGGUUUUACAGAUAUUAUGCUUGUUUUACAUAGUUUUGCAGGGUUUUUAGAUGAAUUAAAGAUGGAAGUGAAGUAAGGUGGACUUAGACCCAUGAAAGAAGGAGAAAAAUGAUGAAAAGAAGGGUCAAGGAAGCCGUUGAGCGCCAUAAUGGUCCGCUGAGCGCUCAGAGCGAUAGGAGGAAAACCGCUCAGCGGAAAAACUGACUGUUGAGCAGUCAAAGCAGCACAAGGCAAACCGCUGAGCGGUGAAUUUAGGCGCCUGGGCGGUUGUCUGUUUUUUUAGUUAGAUUCUGUAAAUCUUUCUGUAAUCUAUCUGUUAUCUUUUGGGGCUUACAUAUAGCCCCAGUGCGAAUUAGAAAGGGAUUCCUUUGGCAGAGAGAAACGUCCAGAGCUAUUCCACACACCUUGGAGAAGGUUCCUUGGAUGCUUAGGCUCCAUUCAACAAAGUUUAGGGUUAUUUCUUCCAUUCUUUCAUAUUUCAUCUAGUUUCACCAUGAUUAUGGUGAACUAAACCCUUUGUUGUUGGGGAACAAUGUAAUCUUUUGAAACUCUCAUAUAUUCAAAUUCUUAUUUAUUUCAUAUGCUUGUCCUAUACUUGUUUAUCAAUUGUUGGGUUCUCAUCUGUGCUCAAUGCUUUUAUUGUUUAACUCAUUCAGUAAAAGAUGUUUGUCUUUAUCGAUAUGGGGACGUACGGUAAUGUCAUGAACUGGUGGGAAAUUCCUUUAUUAUGCCAAUAUUGCCCAGGGAUAGGGGUAGGACAGUCAAUUGUAGUUGCUUCCGAUCGCAUUGCAUUAUUGGUUACUAGGGGAGNNUAGGGAUAGCAAGCCGGUAAUUAAUAAUAGGCUCUUUUCACCAAGGGAUUGGGUUAAGGGUAAAUAAGAAAGUGUGCAUGUCAAUUAGAUAAAUAAGUGAAGUAAUUUAGAAGAGUAGAUAUAUGAGAGUGGAUAAGAUGAAAUUGUAAACCCCAACAACAUCAUUGUUAGGACUUUGGCAAGUAUACCAAAUCGUCUAAAGUAAUAAACCGGUAAGACCAGAUAUCGUUUCCCAAGAGACUCGUAUAACUAGACAAUCGUAUAAUUUCUAACUAACCUAGACUAAAGAAUGUUUCCAUAAUUUGAGUUUUGGUGAAGUUAAAGUAAUUAUAAAGCAUAAAUGAUAAAAGUGAUCUUAAGCACUCAAACACUUUGAAAUGGAGAGAUUAGAAAUGCAAUGGAAUGAUAUUGUUGGGGGUUUGCUUUCACCGACUUCACUCUUAUGUAAAUAAAAUUACUUCCUCUUCAUUGAAUUGUCAAAGUCAAUCUACUAAAUUACUCAAACCCCAAUCCCUUGGUAGAAAGAGUCUAGACUUCCUUAUUAAGCUCCAAUCCCUUGGAAAACCUAACAAUUAGUUCCGCAUUAAGAAAUGAGAUUUUAAGACAACCAAAGGGCCUAGUUCUAUCCCUAGAUACUAUUUCCUUUAGGUGUUUAACCCAAUUCCGAAUUUACCCAACAUUUCCCAAUAUUAAGCAACCCUAAAAUCAAGUUAUGAGUAGCAAUUUCACAACAAGCAUUAAGAGAAGAAAUCAAACACUAGCAAUCAAUGAAAGAGGCAUAUUUUCAUUCAAAACAAAAUGAUUUACAUAAAAGUUUAGUGGCUACAACAAUCCCCCAACAACAAUGAAACUAGCUCUCCAUGAAUGGACAGCUUGAGCUUACAACAAUGGUGGAAAUGGAAGAAGAAAGGAGACCCAAGGAUGAAGAAGGAGUGUUCCCACAGCUCCCAGCUGCCUCCAAGAGCUCCAAAAUGAGAGAAAACGAGUCUGGGUGCCAAAAGAUGCCAAGCCCCUCGCGUUUUAGGCCUAAAAAGACCUAAUUUUUCCACAUCAGCAUUGUCACCGCUCAACUACACCCCAGUUGCAGGUUUCCAGAGAGCUGGGCGCUCAGCUGCACCUCAGUUGCACCCCAGCUGCAGCUUUCCAGAGAGCAGGGCGCUCAGUUGCACCCCAGCUGCACCUCAGCCAUAGCCUUCCAGGGAGCAGGGCGCUCAGCUGCACCCCAGCUACAGCAUUCCAGAGGAGAAUGGGGCUCAGCUGCACCCCAGCUGCACCCUAGCGGCAACAUCAAUUUUUGCUCAAUAUUUCCUCUUUUACAUUCAUUCUUGCUUCUGUGGUUCUUCCAUUCGUCGGUUUGGCCAACAAGCUUCAUGUAUAUGAUCUAACAACCAAAAAGUGNGGAUUAGUGAAGCAAUUUAAAUGAAUUCAACUAAAGAUGUAGCUACUUAGAAACUUAACAAAUUGAGGCAUAAAGAAGGUAUAAAGCUAAGAAAGAGUUGACAUUUUCUCUCAAUUCACUACUGAAAUCAUAGCAAAAUAUGUCAUUAUCAACUCCCCCAAACUUAAAACCUUGCUUGUCCUCAAGCAAAAGGUAUCUGACUCUCACACAAAAAAAUAUUUUCACAGACACAACAGAAUCCACAACACUUGCUUGACUUGAAACGACUAGAAAUGUGUAACAGAUGAGCCUUCCACAGUGGUGCUCACAAUACAUUCAAUCAGUCAAAUGCCGCAUUUUAAAAGAGAUCAACAAUNAUGGCNNAAUGCUUUACUGAAUGAUGUAGAACCAAUCCUCACCCAAGGUAGUGUUUCACUCUNAUGCACUGGUGUAUGAAGAUGUGUAUCUAUCACUCAACUAUCACAAUNUCACACAAAUCAACUUUGCCAUUCGUUUCAAUCAAAUUAAACACAUUCACAAGCAAGUCAACAUCACAAGGACUUUCAUUGGCUUGUAUUGAGGCUGGGAUAAGAAAGAAACAUGGUUUUUCUAGAUAACAAAGCACCUUGAGCUAAGAGAUUAAACAAUUUCAAUAAUGCACAUAAGUUUCCCUUUUGCUUCACUUAAUUUACAACCACUUUCUGACUUAUAUCCCAACUUUCUUUCAUUCAAUUCUUUUUCUUUAUCUUUUUCUUUCUUCUUUUUCCUCAUUUUUUUUAUUUAUUUAUUUUUCUCAAUUCACCCUUACACAACAAACUCCCCCAAACUUUAAACCAUUCUCCUACAGCAACCAUGAAUUCUCUAUUCAGCUCAAGGUAGGGAAAUCAGGGAAUUUUCAUUAGGUUUGAGGUUCAAAGAGGGCAAACAUCUUUCAUUAAGGUCCAAGAGGUUUGUUUUGACUUAUUUGAGGUAGAGAAAAAACAUGGCCUUGAUCAUGUGUGACAAGCAAGCAAAUUAUUCAAACCAGAGAAACUCAGGCAAAGUCAGUUGUGAUCUAUCAUGAUAGCAUUCACAAGAAAAAUUUAAGGCACAACAUCUCACCAGGUUAACUCAAGGUUCCACAAACAUCNUCAAGCAAAUGCCAUAAGUAUUGAUCGCAGUUAAACAUAAGGCAUUCUCAGAAUUUUCAUGAAGAAAGUAACCACAAUUUGAGCUCAACUGAACAAUCUCAAGCAUAAUUUCACAUUCAAGCAUCAGUAUCAUGCAUCAGCAUAGUCUAUCAAGCCAGAUAACUCAACCAAAACUAAACAGUAAGAAGUUCAUUCAGAUUUAAAAACAAGCAACAAAAUAAAAUAAAGUCAAGGUCCUGUCAUCUCUCAAGAAAUGUUGUCAUCACUCUCUUCAGAAUCAUCAUCAUCAUCUUCUUCUUCCUCAUCUUCAUCAGCUGCUGCUUCACCUCCCCC